UCCGUGCACCCGGAGACACCUCCCGCCGGCCCCCCCUCCCCUCCCCGCUGUGCUCAGAAGUUGGGGGGCCGCCCCGGCCGCGGGGGAAGCGGAGCGGGACCGGAGGGUGCGGUACUCACUUUGUCCUUCAAAUUUGCGGAUGAUGGUGUCCAGGGAGUGAUUUCGCUGAGCCUCCUAAUUUCAGCUGCAAGCAUGAUGCAGAAGCCAGAAGGCAGCAAAAUCUCUCCAGAUGUUAUCACAACAGGGAAGGGAAAUCAUCCUUGGUUUAAAGCUAUCUUGUAAAACACUGCUGCUGGCUUGGCAGAGCCCUCGGGGCACCAGCCAGCCCUCACUGCCCUCAAAAGUUUCACCUAGGCACGCUAUCUCAGCUGAGAAGCUCCAGUUGAGCCCCAAGUGGGACCAUCAGCCUCACCCUGGGCUGGACUGGGCAUAACCUUGUGUCCAGCCCCAUCUCCUGGGUGGACUUUGCACCUGUGUUGAAGGCAGCCUGGUGUCCAACCCCAUCCCAUCUGCUGCGUGGACCUUGGCCCCGUGUGGAAGGUUGGCCGGUGUCCAAUCCCACCUGCUGCACUGAGCUUGGACCUGCGCUGAAGGAACCUGGUGUCUGCCUCUGCCUUCUGCAUGGCCAGCGGGCCUGGGCUGUCUGCCUCUGGACACAGCUCAGCGCACCCACCACCCACCCUCGUGUCCAUGGUAGGACAAACUCAGCUCCUAUGUGAAUGCUCUGAUAUCUGGUUAGGUCUGAGCCUGUGCUGCAGUCCCUGAGUGUUCAGUGUGGCUCUUUUUUUUUUUUUUAAAUCCUCUUCUCCAGAAAGCAAUUUUCAUGAAACUUGCAGGAUCUUGAUGGUCUUGGAGACCUCUUUUCCCCCACUAAUGGGGCAGAAAGGAGCCAACGAGCUCAAAUUACCAGUGAGGAGCUGAGCUGGAUGGAGCACACCUGCACCAGCCUGAUUUCCCAGGCUGAAAAUACACUUGGCUUCCAACUCAGCUCUCACCGUGCCAGGUCUCUGCUCCAUGAGCAACGCACUGUCGGGAAGGGGGGAGAGGAGGGGGCCUGGUGUGCCGGGAUAUAAAGCAGAUGCACCAGGAUGUGGCGAGGGAAGGAUCCCGUGUGAGUACCGGGGCCUGGGGCUGCUGCUCCCGGGACCAGGGGAUGAACGGCUGGGGUGCCACCUCCCCGUGGGUGUCCUGUGCUCGAGGAGGAUGGAAAGCAAACAAACACCCGAGCGUGGGCGGGCAGACACCUGCCUUCUGCUCGUCUGCCAGGUGCAAUAAGCCGCUCCCAAGCCUCAGCUUCCCGGUGUAAGACAUGACAGAGGGCAGAGGCCAUCGGAUGGGAGAGGGAUGGGGGGAUCAUCCAGAUCCCCUCAUUUCCCCUGCUGCUUUGGGCUGCAGCAGAUCACAGCUCUUUAAGGCUGCAAUAAUCCCCAGCCUGGGAUUAGUUUUGCACCUAAUCACUGCAGAACAAAUACGAAGUUUUAUUUACAGAAGCAGAAGAAAGACAAGGCCGGGGAUGGGGGGGUGGGGUGGGCCUCAAGCACGGCUGAUCCCAAGAUAAUCAGGAGCUGGAGGGCAGGAGGUGAUCGCUGACCUUGGACCCCCCGCCCCGGCUCUUACGUAAAUGUGCUGUUGAGUGCUGGAGUCACAGCAGCCGUGAGCUCCAGCCUUGUCCCAGCUUGGGCUUGGUGACCCCCCAGCCCUUUAAACAGUUCAUGUCUGGACUUGGGGGAUUUCUGGCCCUGAUUCAACCCCUCCCUUAGGCAUGUGCUUCAUUGUGAACCCACGAGCUGUCAGCUCUGAUGGGAGCCGCAAUUCAGGGGAGGAUGGAGGUGCUGCAAAGGGAUGCUGAUCUUUCAUGAUGGGGAUGGGGGAAGCUGGGUGCUGCAGUUUUGUUGCCCCAAAGCCAGGCUGGUCCCCAGGGAUUUGUGUUUGCAUUGUGUUGGAGUGGCAGCUCUCCUGCUUGAGAGGCUUGUUCCACUGAGCCCUCAGCCCACAUCCAAGAAGAAGCUGAACUGCUGCUUGGAGGGUGACAAGACAUAGGUUUAUUUUUCAUCCAUGCAAGCGAACAGCCUGGCAGCAGGCAAACCAGGAUGUGCUCCAUCCCUCCCCAAACUGCCCUCUGUCAGUCAAGUCUCUGUGGCUUUGCCCACAGAUCAGAACUGGCUGGUGGGUGAGCAGGCUGGACCAGCUCCAGCGCUGGGCACAGGGGCAUCUUGUGACGGCUCCGUGCCUGCCGGAGCCUGAAUUUCUCUUUCCCCUGAUGCAGACAUUGACAAAUAAAUAGCUCUUCUCUGCUUUG
Long non-coding RNA from Corvus hawaiiensis (hawaiian crow), 2299 nucleotides. RefSeq lists it as uncharacterized. NCBI's taxonomy places the organism in Eukaryota, Metazoa, Chordata, Aves, Passeriformes, Corvidae. The record is from RefSeq and is a predicted model, not a curated record. The transcript has 2 exons.